AGGCUUUUAACAGAAAUGAAUACUUUCAGACCAGUUUUGAAGGACUGAGUAGGAGUAAACUAAAAGAGAAAAAGCAGGACAAAAGAAGCACCACUUUGGAAGCUCAAAGCCACACUGGAAACACAGUCUUUCAGCAUGUCUGAAAGAGGCGAGUCUGUUUGUGUGGGGUUGGGGAGCUGUGCUUUGGAAAAGCAAUGAGGAGGUAACAGGAAGUCUCUUCCCCUCCUAAAUCCUGUGUUCAUGGAGGAGAGUGGGAGGCUGAGUUUUCUGCUCUUGAGAGGGAGUUACAUACAAGUUUAAGGGAAAAGAGCCUGAAUUUUCCACCUAAAUGAUUCUGAAAGAAUCAGGUUAAGAAGCAAAUCUGUUCCGAUGUGAUGCCAACUAAGUACAUGAUCUGAUUGUUCCAGUUAUCCUGUGCCAAAAAGAAGCAAAAAAUGGGCUUUCCACGAAUUACUGAACACGGUGUCAGUGUGCCUAAGAAACAAGCCACUAUUAAAAGCUUUCUAGGCAAUUUGAA
Molecule: long non-coding RNA, 517 nt
Organism: Nomascus leucogenys (northern white-cheeked gibbon)
Lineage: Eukaryota; Metazoa; Chordata; Mammalia; Primates; Hylobatidae
Exons: 3
Source: RefSeq, a predicted model, not a curated record